Molecule: ribosomal RNA, 443 nt
Filed under: uncultured Oscillospiraceae bacterium
Lineage: Bacteria; Bacillati; Bacillota; Clostridia; Eubacteriales; Oscillospiraceae
Description: bacterial SSU rRNA
Rfam family: Bacterial small subunit ribosomal RNA
Source: RNAcentral
GUCCUACGGGUGGCUGCAGUGGGGGAUAUUGCACAAUGGGGGAAACCCUGAUGCAGCAACGCCGCGUGAAGGAAGAAGGUCUUCGGAUUGUAAACUUUUGUCUUGCGGGACGAAUAAUGACGGUACCGCAGGAGGAAGCCACGGCUAACUACGUGCCAGCAGCCGCGGUAAUACGUAGGUGGCGAGCGUUGUCCGGAAUUACGGGGUGUAAAGGGUGCGUAGGCGGAUUUGCAAGUCAGGUGUGAAAACUAUCGGCUUAACCGGUAGCCUGCACUUGAAACUGUAAGUCUUGAGUGGUGAAGAGGUAAGCGGAAUUGCUAGUGUAGCGGUGAAAUGCGUAGAUAUUAGGAGGAACACCAGUGGCGAAGGCGGCUUACUGGGCACUAACUGACGCUGAGGCACGAAAGCAUGGGGAGCAAACAGGAUUAGAUACCCUUGUAGUC